AGAGAGUUGGAGUUGGUUUUGCUGUGAGGAGGUGCCCAGGAGAAAUCACUGGGAAGAUUUGCUUAUGCAUGUUCUGCCUGUCUCACUUGGAGCUAUGGGACACAAUGGUCACUGAUGUCCUACUUUUUCUGUGAACAUCACCUAAAGGACGCGGUGAGGAGAAGGACAUUUGACUGGCAAAACACCUUUCAGGUCCUCAGGCACCACUUCAGAUGGGAAAGUCUAAAGCAUCAGCAUGUCUGGGAAUGAAACUGGGACGGAGAAGAAAGAAAACCUGAAGUGUGGACAAAGGCUGUCUAAUUGCUUGUGUCCUGAGUCACUCCCAGUAACAUGGAUCAAGUGCCCUGACCUGAGCAAGAUGAACUUCUUGCGAUUGCAGUGGACUUCAAUGACUGCAGCCAGUGUGCUUCCCAGUCCCUGCUUCUGCAUUUGCAGAUUAUCCCUUUAGCCAUGCUUUUGGUAUGUGAAGCAACAGUACAUUCAUUAAUUCAGUCCUACUUAGCCUGUGCAGACUGAGUUAUCCAUGUAAAUGUGAUCUAGUAAGCUAUUCUCAGAUGCCUCAUAAAUUUUUAUGUUAAAUGACAGCAGCAAAUGGGAAGUGUUUGACACUUUUUUAGUUAUGAAGAAGGUGUGUGAUGCAGAACAUCAAUUUGCAUUUAAUUGAUGAUGAUUAAAAGAGGAAAUGAUCUCAAGUCGUGCUGGGGAGGUUUAGAUUGGAUAUGAAGAAAAAAUUCUUCACUGAAAGGGUUAUCAAGCAGUGGAACAGUCCGUCCACUUAAGUGGUUGAGUCACCAUCCAUGGACAUAUGUAAAAUAUGUAGAUGAGGCGCUUAGGGACAAGGUUUAGUGGUGGACUUGGCAGUGAUAGGUUGAUGGUUAGCCUUGAUGAUCUUAAAGCUUUGGGGUUUUUUGUGAUUCUUUAAGAAGAAAACCAGCUAAAAAGUAACUCCUUGUCCAUUGGGAAAAUACAUUUUAUUUCUGUUAAGUGAAAGUGUUCCCAUUAGAAAUAUUGUCAAGUUGUCUGUUUUUUGAAAGUAUUUAUUCUCUUACGCAUCCCGUGUAAAACAUCAUUUUGCUACUUUGUGAAAUAGAGUCAGACUUUCAAAAUUCAGGAUUGUUUAGAGUUGUAAAUAAUGCUCAUCCUAUCAAGUGCAAAAUAAUAAACCAUUACUGUUUCACAAUGCUGGAAGUAAAAACAAUCUUUGCUAUGUGUUACUAUCUUAAGUUUACAUUUAAAAAAAUUUAGAAAAGUAAUUGAAAACAUUUUGGGGAGUUUUUGAAGGGUUGGUGUUUGCUGCCUGUCUUUAUAUACCUCAAAUGUAUGAAAAGAAAUUGCUGUUGCUGCUUCUGUGGUACCAGAAAUUAAAUUCAAAGCUUGUUUACGCUGCUAACAGUUAUUAAUUUCAUAUGGAAGGUGGAACUCAGUGUUUUUAUCUGUAAUGAACUGGGAAGGCUCGUUAACUUCAAAACAUUGCUACAGUGGUUUAUCCCGUAUGAAUGAGAAUUUAUAGGCGCAAUACAUUAUACAAGCCUUGUGAUAAUUUUACAAAAACCCAGAAUAAACAGUAAUUUUGCUAUAAUUAACUUCACAGAAAAUUAACAUAUUUGUUUCUUACUUCAGUCUUCACAGAACUUACUUCCUUUUUACAAAGUUCAUAG
Molecule: long non-coding RNA, 1658 nt
Organism: Zonotrichia leucophrys gambelii
Lineage: Eukaryota; Metazoa; Chordata; Aves; Passeriformes; Passerellidae
Exons: 3
Source: RefSeq, a predicted model, not a curated record